GGGGAUUUAGCUCAGUGGUAGAGUGCUUGCCUAGCAAGUGUAAGGCCCUGGAUUCAGUCCCCA
RNAcentral lists this transfer RNA (63 nucleotides) under Rattus norvegicus (Norway rat). It matches the Rfam family "tRNA". From Rfam's summary of the family: Transfer RNA (tRNA) molecules are approximately 80 nucleotides in length. Their secondary structure includes four short double-helical elements and three loops (D, anti-codon, and T loops). Lineage: Eukaryota; Metazoa; Chordata; Mammalia; Rodentia; Muridae. The record is from Rfam by way of RNAcentral.